This 285-nucleotide ribosomal RNA is filed under the name Triticum aestivum (bread wheat). RNAcentral's name for it is "partial small subunit ribosomal RNA". The record is from RNAcentral. Lineage: Eukaryota; Viridiplantae; Streptophyta; Magnoliopsida; Poales; Poaceae.
AUGCCUCCCAGCUGGGGGGUGGAUCGAAUCGGAGUUUCCUUAGGUAGCCACCGACCUACAGUUCUCCUUAAACUUUUGUGCUUGGUGGAAAAGAAGCGAACAAAGGUACGCUCGCUUGCUGUCUUGUUCUCUGCCGCGGACUGGGAUCGCUCGCCAGCUAGGCCCUCUAGAAAAAAGUUGGAGCAAUAUUACCCAUCUUCGGGGACAAGGGGCAGAACGACCUCUCGAUCUACUUACUGCAGCCCAGGACGGGCAUCGUCGUCUAGGCGUGACUUCUUGUUUUGA